This 206-nucleotide unclassified non-coding RNA is filed under the name soil metagenome. Its description in RNAcentral is "partial contains 5.8S ribosomal RNA, internal transcribed spacer 2, and large subunit ribosomal RNA". The record is from RNAcentral.
AACCAUUCUCACCUGCGGCUAGACCUGCGGAAGGAUCAUUACUGAGUGAGGGCCUUCGGGCUCGACCUCCAACCCUUUGUGUACACAACUUGUUGCUUCGGGGGCGACCCUGCCGUUUCGACGGCGAGCGCCCCCGGAGGCCUUCAAACACUGCAUCUUUGCGUCGGAGUUUAAGUAAAUUAAACAAAACUUUCAGCAACGGAUCU